This 495-nucleotide ribosomal RNA is filed under the name uncultured bacterium. Its description in RNAcentral is "partial 16S ribosomal RNA". It matches the Rfam family "Bacterial small subunit ribosomal RNA", at positions 28 to 505 of the family's 1533-position model. The record is from RNAcentral.
GAUGAACGCUGGCGGCGUGCCUAAUACAUGCAAGUCGAGCGAACAGACGAGGAGCUUGCUCCUCUGACGUUAGCGGCGGACGGGUGAGUAACACGUGGAUAACCUACCUAUAAGACUGGGAUAACUUCGGGAAACCGGAGCUAAUACCGGAUAAUAUAUUGAACCGCAUGGUUCAAUAGUGAAAGACGGUUUUGCUGUCACUUAUAGAUGGAUCCGCGCCGCAUUAGCUAGUUGGUAAGGUAACGGCUUACCAAGGCAACGAUGCGUAGCCGACCUGAGAGGGUGAUCGGCCACACUGGAACUGAGACGCGGUCCAGACUCCUACGGGGGGCAGCAGUAGGGAAUCGUCCGCAAUGGGCGAAAGCCUGGCGGAGCAACGCCGCGUGAGUGAUGAAGGUCUUCGGAUCGGAAAACUCUGUUAUUGGGGAAGAACAAAUGUGUAAGUAACUAUGCACGUCUUGACGGUACCAAAACAGAAAGCCGCGGCUAACUACG